This 288-nucleotide long non-coding RNA is filed under the name Zea mays. RNAcentral describes it as "long non-coding RNA (ZMAY_LNC003242)". The record is from RNAcentral. Lineage: Eukaryota; Viridiplantae; Streptophyta; Magnoliopsida; Poales; Poaceae.
AGAGACUUUCAUAUGUGCAUGUGAAGCGGAUCAAGAAUCAGCUUUGAUUUGGCUAAGAAAUGAGAUGGCUUAGUAGGUAUGAUAUUUGUGUCUUUACCUUCCACUCAACCAUAUUCACUUGGGCCUUUAUAUUCCAAUCUAAUUGUUCCAUUUGUUUGGACAGGUUUGGGUGAUCAAUCGGUGAUGCUUAGCACAUCUGGAGGUUUCUUAUUUUGAACUGACAUGCUUAGUUCUAAAGUGGUGUUUCUUCUUAGCACAUCUGUUCUAUCUCUUAGCUGUUGAAGAUGU